UAACGCGUGNAUAAUCUACCCAGAUGUUCGGGAUAACGGCGGGAAACUGCCGCUAAUACCGGAUACGAUCCAAUUUCGGUUGGGUGAAAGGCGGCCUCUGUUUACAAGCUGUCGCAUCUGGAUGAGUCCGCGUCCCAUUAGCUUGUUGGUGGGGUAAUGGCCUACCAAGGCGACGAUGGGUAGCUGGUCUGAGAGGAUGAUCAGCCACACUGGAACUGAAACACGGUCCAGACUCCUACGGGAGGCAGCAGUGGGGAAUAUUGCGCAAUGGGGGAAACCCUGACGCAGCGACGCCGUGUGAGGGAAGAAGGCUUUCGGGUCGUAAACCUCUGUCGGGAGGGAAGAACCUUCCAGGCCUGAAUAAGUCCUGGAACUGACGGUACCUCCAAAGGAAGCACCGGCUAACUCCGUGCCAGCAGCCGCGGUAAUACGGAGGGUGCAAGCGUUAAUCGGAAUCACUGGGCGUAAAGCGCGCGUAGGCGGUCUUUUAAGUCGGACGUGAAAGCCCUCGGCUCAACCGGGGGAACUGCGUUCGAAAACUGGGAGACUUGAGUCCUGGAGAGGGUGGCGGAAUUCCGGGUGUAGGAGUGAAAUCCGUAGAUAUCCGGAGGGAACACCGGUGGCGAAGGCGGCCACCCUGGACAGGUACUGACGCUUGAGGCGCGAAAGC
Molecule: ribosomal RNA, 670 nt
Filed under: Desulfovibrionales bacterium LSR-S2B8
Lineage: Bacteria; Pseudomonadati; Thermodesulfobacteriota; Desulfovibrionia; Desulfovibrionales
Description: bacterial SSU rRNA
Rfam family: Bacterial small subunit ribosomal RNA
Source: RNAcentral